UUAGAGUUUGAUGCUGGCUCAGGAUGAACGCUAGCUAGAGGCCUAACGCAUGCAAGUCAAGGGGUAACAGGGGAGCUUGCUCCCGCUGACUACCGGCGCACGGGUGAGUAACGCAUAUGCUACCUGCCCGCCACAGGGGGAUAGCCUUCCGAAAGGGAGAUUAAUACCGCAUAAGACCACGUCCUGGGCAUCCAGGAGGGGUAAAAUAUUUAUAGGUGGCGGCUGGGCAUGCUGUGACAUUAGCUAGUUGGCGGGGCAACGGCCCACCAAGGCGACGAUGUCUAGGGGAACUGAGAGGUCGAUCCCCCACACUGGUACUGAGACACGGACCAGACUCCUACGGGAGGCAGCAGUGAGGAAUAUUGGUCAAUGGAGGAAACUCUGAACCAGCCAUCUCGCGUGAAGGACUACGGCCCUACGGGUCUUAAACUUCUUUUAUAGGGGGAUAAAGUCGCAUACGUGUAUGUGAUUGCAGGUACCCUAUGAAUAAGCAUCGGCUAACUCCGUGCCAGCAGCCGCGGUAAUACGGAGGAUGCGAGCGUUAUCCGGAUUUAUUGGGUUUAAAGGGUGCGCAGGCGGCGCGUUAAGUCAGCGGUGAAAUGUCGGGGCUCAACCCCGGCACUGCCGUUGAAACUGUCGUGCUCGAGUACGGAUGAAGCGGGCGGAAUGUGAUGUGUAGCGGUGAAAUGCUUAGAUAUGUCACAGAACGCCGAUUGCGAAGCCAGCUCGCUAAUCCGCAACUAACGCUCAUGCACGAAAGCGUGGGGAUCGAACAGGAUUACAUACCCUGUGUAGUCCACGCAGUAAACGAUGAAGGCUAUCUAUUGGCGAUAUACAGUCA
This 841-nucleotide ribosomal RNA is filed under the name uncultured bacterium. RNAcentral describes it as "bacterial SSU rRNA". It matches the Rfam family "Bacterial small subunit ribosomal RNA", at positions 1 to 839 of the family's 1533-position model. The record is from RNAcentral.